AAAGGGGGCUUCGGCUUCCGGUUGAGGAGGAGUCUAUUUCCUAUUAGCUUGUUGGUGCGGUAACGGCGCACCAAGGCUGUGAUGGGUAGGGGGCCUUAGCGGGUGGCCCUCCACACUGGGACUGAGACACUGCCCAGGUUCCUACGGGAGGCUGCAAUCGAGAAUCCUCCGCAAUGGGCGAAAGCCUGACGGGGUGACGCCGCGUGACCGAUGAAGGCUCUUACGGGUCGUAAAGGUCUUACAGGGAGUAUGAAAUAUACUGGGGCUAAUAUCUCCAGUAUUUGACGUCAAUCUCAAAUGAAGUCACGGCUAAAUUUGUGCCAGCAGCCGCGGUAAGACAAAUGUGGCAAGCGUUGUUCGGAAUCACUGGGCAUAAAGGGCACGUAGGCGGCGUAGUAAGUUAACUGUGAAAUCCCCCGGCUCAACCGGGGAACUGCAGUUAAUACUGCUGUGCUAGAGUGCAGAAGAGGAGAGUGGAAUUCUAGGUGUAGCGGUGGAAUGCGAAGAUAUCUAGGAGAAGGCCGGUGGCGAAAGCGACUCUCUGGUCUGUUACUGACGCUGAGGUGCGAGAGCGCAGGUAGCGAACGGGAUUAGAUACCCCGGUAGUCUGUGCCGUAAACGAUGGGCACUAGAUGGUGGAGGCGCCGAUAGCUUUCUCCGUCGCAGCUAAUACGUUAAGUGCCCCGCCUGGGGAGUAUGGCCGCAAGGUUAAAACUCAAAGGAAUUGACGGGGGCCCACACAAGCGGUGGAGGAUGUGGCUUAAUUCGAGGAUACCCGUAAAACCUUACCGAGGCUUGACAUGCAGGUGGUAGUGAAGUGAAAGCGGAACGACCCGAAUAGGGAGCCUGCACAGGUGCUGCAUGGCUGUCGACAGCUCGUGUCGUGAGAUGUUAGGUUAAGUCCUGUAACGAGCGAAACCCUUGUGCUUAAUUGCCAGCGCGUUAUGGCGGGGACCUUAAGCAGACUGCCCCGGCCAACGGGGAGGAAGGUGGGGAUGACGUCAAGUCAGCAUGGCCUUUAUGCCUCGGGCUGCACACGUCCUACAAUGGGCUGUACAAUGGGGACCCAAACCGCAAGGUGGAGGAAAUCCUAUAAAG
Molecule: ribosomal RNA, 1098 nt
Filed under: uncultured organism
Description: bacterial SSU rRNA
Rfam family: Bacterial small subunit ribosomal RNA
Source: RNAcentral